UACGUAGGGUGCGAGCGUUGUCCGGAAUUAUUGGGCGUAAAGGGCUCGUAGGCGGUUUGUCGCGUCGGGAGUGAAAUCCACUGGCUUAACUGGUGGCUUGCUUUCGAUACGGGCAGACUGGAGGUAUGCAGGGGAGAACGGAAUUCCUGGUGUAGCGGUGAAAUGCGCAGAUAUCAGGAGGAACACCAGUGGCGAAGGCGGUUCUCUGGGCAUGUCCUGACGCUAAGGAGCGAAAGUGUGGGGAGCGAACAGG
Molecule: ribosomal RNA, 253 nt
Filed under: uncultured bacterium
Lineage: Bacteria
Description: partial 16S ribosomal RNA
Rfam family: Bacterial small subunit ribosomal RNA
Source: RNAcentral